Molecule: long non-coding RNA, 839 nt
Filed under: Manihot esculenta (cassava)
Lineage: Eukaryota; Viridiplantae; Streptophyta; Magnoliopsida; Malpighiales; Euphorbiaceae
Description: long non-coding RNA (MESC_LNC004454)
Source: RNAcentral
CUGUGGUAAAAUUUAACUGGUAGAGUGGAGCUGACCCCUUAAUUUUUAUGACAAUUAAUUCAUUCCCUCUCAUUCAUUGAACCAAUAGCAAAGGCUGCCAUAGCAACUCUGACAUUGGAAACAUUAUGCCUUAUCAUAAAAACAUCGUAAACCCCACUCCAAGGAAAUUAAAUAAAAUCUCACUUUUCAUUACAAUUUUGCCAUUUCCUUCCUUGUAUACUGUUCAUAAUUUCAGGUUAGCUGAAUCAGUAUACACCUACCACUGGACUCUGAUAGCAACUCAUAACUGCUUGGACCAGCUCCUUCCAACUUCUCCUUUUCGUGUAACCUUCGUUCUUUCCUAAUUUAAUUUUCCAAGUUCUCUUCAUCAGCUCUUCAGCAAUGAUCAGUAGAAGCUCAAGAUCACCAGCUAUAACGAGUUGGCCAGCUAUAUCUAGCUUAUACAAAAGUUUGAUGUUCAGGUGUUAUUUCUCAAGGUCGGCCUUUAUUAUGGUUGUCUUCACGGCGUCUCUUCUUGUCAUGCCGCCACUCUUGCCACCGUUACCACCGCCGCCAACGGUUCUUCUAUUUGUGCCAGUAAUCAUCAUGUCCUUUCUGGUUUUUAUGGCCUUCAUUCCAUCGCAAAUGCCUGAGUUUUCUCCUUGAGAUCCCUUUGCUCUUGUCUCUUACUGUUUGUUGUCUCUAUUUUCCAUGUUUAUAAGAGAUUGUAUGAAAAAUGAGUAUAAGUUGAAGGUUUUAGAUUUCUGAUAUAUAGAUUGUUAGCUACGGUAGCUUUAUGGUGGAGUAAAUGGAACAAAAGCCAAGGCAGAUCAGUGCGAUCACAAUGUAUAUGAAUAUCG